CGCGGCGCCAUUUUGCAGGCGGCUGUCGCGGGGACCGGAGGCGGCGGCGGCGGCAGCAGCGGGCAGUGCAGCUCCCAGGCGCGGCAGCAGGACGGGAGCCCGAGCGAGCUGCAGCCAGCUGGUCUUGACUCCACUAAGCACGACCCUGCGUGGAGCGCUGAGCUUGAACCUCGGCAGCACAAGGGAAUGCGUCAUCAGCACCUUGUGAGGGGAAGCAUAUGGACAGGUCCACGCCGCAGCCUGUAGGUUGUGAGACAUGGCGCUCACGGGUCUCCUCUCCGCCUGAGGUUCGGUGCUCCAGGCCCCGAGAGAGCUGACGCAGAUCCCAGGCUCCGGCUUGAGCAGGC
This is a long non-coding RNA of Ochotona princeps (American pika), 347 nucleotides long. RefSeq lists it as uncharacterized. The record is from RefSeq and is a predicted model, not a curated record. The transcript is spliced from 3 exons. Lineage: Eukaryota; Metazoa; Chordata; Mammalia; Lagomorpha; Ochotonidae.